RNAcentral lists this ribosomal RNA (402 nucleotides) under uncultured bacterium. RNAcentral describes it as "bacterial SSU rRNA". It matches the Rfam family "Bacterial small subunit ribosomal RNA", at positions 355 to 774 of the family's 1533-position model. The record is from RNAcentral.
UCGGGAAUUUUGGGCAAUGGGCGAAAGCCUGACCCAGCAACGCCGCGUGAGGGAUGAAGUAUUUCGGUAUGUAAACCUCGAAAGAAUGGGAAGAAUAAAUGACGGUACCAUUUAUAAGCUCCGGCUAACUACGUGCCAGCAGCCGCGGUAAUACGUAGGGAGCAAGCGUUGUUAGGAUUUACUGGGCGUAAAGGGCGCGUAGGCGGCGCGGUAAGUCACUUGUGAAAUCUCUGAGCUUAACUCAGAACGGCCAAGUGAUACUGCUGUGCUAGAGUGCGGAAGAGGCAACCAGAAUUCUUGGUGUAGCGGUGAAAUGCGUAGAUAUCAAGAGGAACACCUGAGGCGAAGGCGGGUUGCUGGGCCGACACUGACGCUGAUGCGCGAAAGCCGGGGGAGCAAACG